Strigops habroptila (Kakapo) is the source of this 480-nucleotide long non-coding RNA. RefSeq lists it as uncharacterized. The record is from RefSeq and is a predicted model, not a curated record. The transcript is spliced from 3 exons. Lineage: Eukaryota; Metazoa; Chordata; Aves; Psittaciformes; Psittacidae.
GGCAGAGCAUGAGACUGAAAAGUCCUUGAUCAGGAUAUUGUUUCCAGAAUUAGUUGCUAUGUCGUCUUCCCAGGGACUGAGGUGAGGCUGACCAUCCUGUAGUUCCCUGGACCUUCCUUCUUCUUCUUUUUGAAGACAGCAGUGACGUUUGCUUUCUUCCAGUCCUAAGGAACCUCACAUGAAUGCCACGACUUUUCAAACGUGAUAGAGAGUAGCCUUGCAAUGACAUCAACAACCUGCCUCAGGAUUCAUGGGUGUAACCCAUGCGUCCACUUUUUUUCAGUACUCCCUAAUCUUUCUGCAAAGGGUAAAUCUCAUACAAACACUCUUGCUUCUUGCCUGAAGCAAUAGGGAAGCAAGCUGAAAAUGUCUCUGAAGGUGGGGCACAGAAUAUCAGAGAAAAAUGGGUAAACAAAAGAUUCAGAAGUAUGAAUGUGGAAAGAUGCAGCAAACAGGUUUCACAUUGCUGCAACAUAGGUA